Molecule: ribosomal RNA, 253 nt
Filed under: uncultured bacterium
Lineage: Bacteria
Description: partial 16S ribosomal RNA
Rfam family: Bacterial small subunit ribosomal RNA
Source: RNAcentral
UACGUAGGGUGCGAGCGUUAAUCGGAAUUACUGGGCGUAAAGCGUGCGCAGGCGGUUCGUUGUGUCGGUGGUGAAAGCCCCGGGCUCAACCUGGGAAUGGCCAUGGAAACUGGCGAACUGGAGUGUGGCAGAGGGGGGUGGAAUUCCGCGUGUAGCAGUGAAAUGCGUAGAGAUGCGGAGGAACACCGAUGGCGAAGGCAGCCCCCUGGGCUAACACUGACGCUCAUGCACGAAAGCGUGGGGAGCAAACAGG